GUGCCAGCCGCCGCGGUAAUACCGGCAGCCCGAGUGAUGGCCGAUCUUAUUGGGCCUAAAGCGUCCGUAGCUGGCUGCGCAAGUCCGUCGGGAAAUCCACUCGCCCAACGAGUGGGCGUCCGGCGGAAACUGCACAGCUUGGGACCGGAAGGCUCGAAGGGUACGUCCGGGGUAGGAGUGAAAUCCCGUAAUCCUGGACGGACCACCGACGGCGAAAGCACCUUGGAAGGACGGAUCCGACAGUGAGGGAUGAAAGCUAGGGUCUCGAACCGGAUUAGAUACCCCAGUAGUCC
RNAcentral lists this ribosomal RNA (293 nucleotides) under uncultured bacterium. RNAcentral's name for it is "partial 16S ribosomal RNA". It matches the Rfam family "Archaeal small subunit ribosomal RNA", at positions 455 to 747 of the family's 1478-position model. The record is from RNAcentral.